RNAcentral lists this ribosomal RNA (504 nucleotides) under uncultured bacterium. RNAcentral describes it as "partial 16S ribosomal RNA". It matches the Rfam family "Bacterial small subunit ribosomal RNA", at positions 30 to 523 of the family's 1533-position model. The record is from RNAcentral.
AUUGAACGCUGGCGGCAGGCCUAACACAUGCAAGUCGAACGGUAGCACAGAGAGCUUGCUCUCGGGUGACGAGUGGCGGACGGGUGAGUAAUGUCUGGGAAACUGCCCGAUGGAGGGGGAUAACUACUGGAAACGGUAGCUAAUACCGCAUAACGUCGCAAGACCAAAGUGGGGGACCUUCGGGCCCCACACCAUUGGAUGUGCCCAGAUGGGAUUAGCUAGUAGGUGGGGUAAUGGCUCACCUAGGCGACGAUCCCUAGCUGGUCUGAGAGGAUGACCUGCCACACUGGAACUGAGACACGGUCCAGACUCCUACGGGAGGCAGCAGUGGGGAAUAUUGCGCAAUGGGCGCAAGCCUGAUGCAGCCAUGCCGCGUGUAUGAAGAAGGCCUUCGGGUUGUAAAGUACUUUCAGCGGGGAGGAAGGCGGUGAAGUUAAUAGCUUCACCGAUUGACGUUACCCGCAGAAGAAGCACCGGCUAACUCCGUGCCAGCCGCCGCCGUAA